RNAcentral lists this ribosomal RNA (263 nucleotides) under Candidatus Pacearchaeota archaeon. RNAcentral describes it as "partial 23S ribosomal RNA". It matches the Rfam family "Archaeal large subunit ribosomal RNA", at positions 2657 to 2928 of the family's 2987-position model. Lineage: Archaea; Nanobdellati. The record is from RNAcentral.
UUAAAAGGGAUCGUUAGCUGGGUUAAGAACGUCGCGAGACAGUUUGUAUGAUAUCUACUAGGUGUGUUGUUGUCUGAGUGGAACAAGUUUCUAGUACGAGAGGAACGGAACUUGGGUGCCUCUAGUGAGCAGUUGUCAUUGGCAGGCUGCAUAGCCACGCACUAUAUGGAUAAGAGCUGAAUGCAUCUAAGCUCGAAGCCAUCCGCAAAACGAGAUAACUAAUACCGUCGAAGAAGACGACGUUGAUAGAGUUCUUGUGUAAG